UUAUUUUUAUUUUAUUUUUAUUUUAUUUUUUGAUUUUUGAAAUAAAAAUAUAUCUAUGUCCUUUCUAAGGUUCUAAACUAUAUCUGUACCAAAUUUCAACCAAAUCCGUCAAAUAGUUGCGGAGAUUAAUGGUAUAAGCAUAGAAUGUUCGACGUGAUUCUUUAAUUUGACAUAACUUUUUUAUUUAUGAACCGAUUGACAUGAAACAAACACUAAAUGUAAAUUUAAGCAUCCCACAAUAUAUUCGUGAAAACCGCAUCCAACUCGGAUCAGCCGUUUCUGAGAUUAGCGCGCACAGACGAACAGACAAACAGACAAA
Long non-coding RNA from Spodoptera frugiperda (fall armyworm), 319 nucleotides. RefSeq lists it as uncharacterized. The record is from RefSeq and is a predicted model, not a curated record. Lineage: Eukaryota; Metazoa; Arthropoda; Insecta; Lepidoptera; Noctuidae. The transcript is spliced from 2 exons.